RNAcentral lists this ribosomal RNA (497 nucleotides) under uncultured bacterium. RNAcentral describes it as "partial 16S ribosomal RNA". It matches the Rfam family "Bacterial small subunit ribosomal RNA", at positions 28 to 507 of the family's 1533-position model. The record is from RNAcentral.
GAUGAACGCUGGCGGCGUGCCUAAUACAUGCAAGUCGAGCGAACAGACGAGGAGCUUGCUCCUCUGACGUUAGCGGCGGACGGGUGAGUAACAUGUGGAUAACCUACCUAUAAGACUGGGAUAACUUCGGGAAACCGGAGCUAAUACCGGAUAAUAUAUUGAACCGCAUGGUUCAAUAGUGAAAGACGGUUUUGCUGUCACUUAUAGAUGGAUCCGCGCCGCAUUAGCUAGUUGGUAAGGUAACGGCUUACCAAGGCGACGAUGCGUAGCCGACCUGAGAGGGUGAUCGGCCACACUGGAACUGAGACACGGUCCAGACUCCUACGGGAGGCAGCAGUAGGGAAUCUUCCGCAAUGGGCGAAAGCCUGACGGAGCAACGCCGCGUGAGUGAUGAAGGUCUUCGGAUCGUAAAACUCUGUUAUUGGGGAAGAACAAAUGUGUAAGUAACUAUGCACGUCUUGACGGUACCUAAUCAGAAAGCCACGGCUAACUACGUG